UGGGCAGGAUCCACUAAGUACAAACAUUUAAUCUCAAUUGAUGGGGCUACUAAGUAUCAACAUUCAACUCCCAUUAGUGGAGUCCACUAUAAUAUAGUUAUGGUGAAAACAUAAAUCCAAUCUAUAUCAAAGUACUUUUACAACAUAAUAUAUAGAUAUCAUAAUUGCAUUCAAUAUAUGGGUAUUCUAUAAUAAAUCAAUAACC
RNAcentral lists this long non-coding RNA (205 nucleotides) under Elaeis guineensis (African oil palm). Its description in RNAcentral is "long non-coding RNA (EGUI_LNC033399)". The record is from RNAcentral. Lineage: Eukaryota; Viridiplantae; Streptophyta; Magnoliopsida; Arecales; Arecaceae.